UCAAUGGUUUAGAAUGUACCAUGCUUUCUGUGACACCAGAGGCUGGGUCAGAGACCCAUCAGAAUUCGUAGCUCUUUCAUUGUACUUUAAAGACAGCCACUCAAGUCCCAAUCUGUGUGGGUAUUCAUUAGGGAGACUGGGACAGCAUUGGAACUUCAUGCUGUAGUGCUGGUGAGCUGAUAAGGUAGUGUUCUCGUAGCAACUGGUUUUCUUUUACACAUCUACCUGGAUAAUCAUUUUAAUAACAUCUAACAGAUAAUGAUAGCCAGGAAACGGGGCAGAAUAAUGAUUAACGAAUCCGUGUUUAUCCAGUGUACCCAACCCAGAAACAAACCCUCAUGGAAAAGUUCAGUCCUUGUGUAUUCAGAUCUGCUUUUAAGGUGUAGAACACUACAAGUUCAUUGCUCUAAAUUUGCCUCAGAACAUAGUAACUUUGUCCUUCAGCCAGUUUUUGCCAGCGUUUCACUUUAACUAAUGGGUGGUCUAUUUAAAAAAAAAAAAAAAAAGACAAAACAGUUCUUAAAUGUGGCUUCACACCAUUAGCUUUGGACUCCAACAGAGGGUUUGGGAAAUUUCCUGGGGCCUAUGUGUAAAUUUGAAAUUACAGGAAAAGACACAAAGGAAUAGGGAAAGCUGUGGUUAUCCUGCUUCCUGGAGCGGGUUAGUAUCAGUCCAGCCUCGCAAGGCUGUGUUCUGAGAAUUUUCUCACCUUACCCAUGGUGGGAGUGAGCAGGAGAUAACACACUUUAUUUGCUUUUUCUGUUGCUGCAGAACGAGAGACAAAGCUUAAGAAAGGCCAUACCUCGGCAGACAGAAAGAGGAAGGCGCGGUCUAGAGCUCUGAGGGU
Molecule: long non-coding RNA, 847 nt
Filed under: Mus musculus (house mouse)
Lineage: Eukaryota; Metazoa; Chordata; Mammalia; Rodentia; Muridae
Description: long non-coding RNA chr10:96653967-96654814
Source: RNAcentral